This 652-nucleotide ribosomal RNA is filed under the name uncultured bacterium. RNAcentral describes it as "bacterial SSU rRNA". It matches the Rfam family "Bacterial small subunit ribosomal RNA", at positions 8 to 706 of the family's 1533-position model. The record is from RNAcentral.
AGAGUUUGAUCCUGGCUCAGGAUGAACGCUGGCGGUCUGCUUAACACAUGCAAGUCGAACGGGCUCUUCGGAGCUAGUGGCAGACGGGUGAGUAACGCGUGAGAAUCUGCCUUCAGGAGGGGGAUAACGACUGGAAACGGUCGCUAAUACCCCAUAUGCCUCCGGGUGAAAAGUAAUUCGCCUGAAGAUGAGCUCGCGUCAGAUUAGCUAGUUGGUGGGGUAAGAGCCUACCAAGGCGACGAUCUGUAGCUGGUCUGAGAGGAUGAUCAGCCACACUGGGACUGAGACACGGCCCAGACUCCUACGGGAGGCAGCAGUGGGGAAUUUUCCGCAAUGGGCACAAGCCUGACGGAGCAAGACCGCGUGGGGGAUGACGGCCUAAUGGUUGUAAACCCCUUUUUUCUGGGAAGAAGACUGACGGUACCAGAGGAAUCAGCCUCGGCUAACUCCGUGCCAGCAGCCGCGGUAAUACGGAGGAGGCAAGCGUUAUCCGGAAUUAUUGGGCGUAAAGCGUCCGUAGGUGGUUAUUCAAGUCUGCUGUCAAAGCGUGGGGCUUAACUCCAUAGAGGCAGUGGAAACUGAGUGACUAGAGUGCGGUAGGGGUCGAGGGAAUUCCCAGUGUAGCGGUGAAAUGCGUAGAUAUUGGGAAGAA